GUUAGAUUCCAAUGUUUUUGAGGGCAAUAUACCAUGGCAGCUGUGUCAAUUGAAGUACAUUAUGGUAUUAAGCCUUUCUUCCAAUUUGUUAUCGGGCAGAAUCCCACGAUGUAUCAACAAUUUCCAAGUAUUGGCGGAGAAGGAGGCUGAACCUUCUCAUGGCUAUUAUUUAUAUCUUCGAUAUGCAAAGGUUGAGCUAAAGAAAGUGAUGUGGAUAGACUCACAAAGACAUGGUUUACAAGGUGG
Molecule: unclassified non-coding RNA, 246 nt
Filed under: Hevea brasiliensis (rubber tree)
Lineage: Eukaryota; Viridiplantae; Streptophyta; Magnoliopsida; Malpighiales; Euphorbiaceae
Source: RNAcentral